Heterocephalus glaber (naked mole-rat) is the source of this 111-nucleotide small nuclear RNA. Its record names the gene U5. It matches the Rfam family "U5 spliceosomal RNA". Rfam says of the family: U5 RNA is a component of both types of known spliceosome. The precise function of this molecule is unknown, though it is known that the 5' loop is required for splice site selection and p220 binding, and that both the 3' stem-loop and the Sm site are important for Sm protein binding and cap methylation. NCBI's taxonomy places the organism in Eukaryota, Metazoa, Chordata, Mammalia, Rodentia, Bathyergidae. The record is from Ensembl.
GUACUCUGAUUUUUCUUCAGAUCAUAUAAAUCUUUUGCCUUUUACUAAAGAUUUCCAUGGAUAGAAUAAGGAGGUGCAGCCUGCCCCAUACCAAGGCCACUCAUGGGGUCU